This 496-nucleotide ribosomal RNA is filed under the name uncultured bacterium. Its description in RNAcentral is "partial 16S ribosomal RNA". It matches the Rfam family "Bacterial small subunit ribosomal RNA", at positions 28 to 507 of the family's 1533-position model. The record is from RNAcentral.
GAUGAACGCUGGCGGCGUGCCUAAUACAUGCAAGUCGAGCGAACAGACGAGGAGCUUGCUCCUCUGACGUUAGCGGCGGACGGGUGAGUAACACGUGGAUAACCUACCUAUAGACUGGGAUAACUUCGGGAAACCGGAGCUAAUACCGGAUAAUAUAUUGAACCGCAUGGUUCAAUAGUGAAAGACGGUUUUGCUGUCACUUAUAGAUGGAUCCGCGCCGCAUUAGCUAGUUGGUAAGGUAACGGCUUACCAAGGCAACGAUGCGUAGCCGACCUGAGAGGGUGAUCGGCCACACUGGAACUGAGACACGGUCCAGACUCCUACGGGAGGCAGCAGUAGGGAAUCUUCCGCAAUGGGCGAAAGCCUGACGGAGCAACGCCGCGUGAGUGAUGAAGGCCUUCGGAUCGUAAAACUCUGUUAUUAGGGAAGAACAAAUGUGUAAGUAACUAUGCACGUCUUGACGGUACCUAAUCAGAAAGCCACGGCUAACUACGUG